ACGAAGCGGUGACGUGGAGCAAACCUCAGAAAGCCAAUCUCAGUUCGGAUUGUAGGCUGCAACUCGCCUACAUGAAGUUGGAAUCGCUAGUAAUCGCGAAUCAGAAUGUCGCGGUGAAUACGUUCCCGGGUCUUGUACACACCGCCCGUCACACCACGAGAGUUUACAACACCCGAAGUCAGUGGCCUAACCGCAAGGAGGGAGCUGCCUUAGGUGGGGUAGAUGAUUGGGGUGAAGUCGUAACAAGGUAGC
Molecule: ribosomal RNA, 252 nt
Filed under: uncultured bacterium
Lineage: Bacteria
Description: partial 16S ribosomal RNA
Rfam family: Bacterial small subunit ribosomal RNA
Source: RNAcentral